AGUGAACGCUGGCGGUAGGCCUAACACAUGCAAGUCGAACGGCAGCACAGUAAAAGCUUGCUCUUACGGGUGGCGAGUGGCGGACGGGUGAGGAAUACAUCGGAAUCUACUUUUUCGUGGGGGAUAACGUAGGGAAACUUACGCUAAUACCGCAUACGACCUACGGGUGAAAGAAGGGGAUCUUCGGACCUUGCGCGAUUGAAUGAGCCGAUGUCGGAUUAGCUAGUUGGCGGGGUAAAGGCCCACCAAGUCGACGACCCGUAGCUGGUCUGAGAGGGUGAUCAGCCACACUGGAACUGAGACACGGUCCAGACUCCUACGGGAGGCAGCAGUGGGGAAUAUUGGACAAUGGGCGCAAGCCUGAUCCAGCCAUACCGCGUGGGUGAAGAAGGCCUUCGGGUUGUAAAGCCCUUUUGUUGGGAAAGAAAAGCAGCAGGUUAAUACCCCGCUGUUCUGACGGUACCCAAAGAAUAAGCACCGGCUAACUUCGUG
This 492-nucleotide ribosomal RNA is filed under the name uncultured bacterium. RNAcentral describes it as "partial 16S ribosomal RNA". It matches the Rfam family "Bacterial small subunit ribosomal RNA", at positions 29 to 507 of the family's 1533-position model. The record is from RNAcentral.